Molecule: ribosomal RNA, 406 nt
Filed under: uncultured bacterium
Lineage: Bacteria
Description: bacterial SSU rRNA
Rfam family: Bacterial small subunit ribosomal RNA
Source: RNAcentral
GUGGGGAAUAUUGGGCAAUGGGCGCAAGCCUGACCCAGCAACGCCGCGUGAAGGAAGAAGGCUUUCGGGUUGUAAACUUCUUUUAAGUGGGACGAUAAUGACGGUACCACUUGAAUAAGCUCCGGCUAACUACGUGCCAGCAGCCGCGGUAAUACGUAGGGAGCAAGCGUUAUCCGGAUUUACUGGGUGUAAAGGGCGUGUAGGCGGGACAGCAAGUCAGAUGUGAAAACUAUGGGCUCAACCCAUAGCCUGCAUUUGAAACUGUUGUUCUUGAGUGCUGGAGAGGCAAAUGGAACUCCUAGUGUAGCGGUGAAAUGCGUAGAUAUUAGGAAGAACACCAGUGGCGAAGGCGAUUUGCUGGACAGUAACUGACGCUGAUGCGCGAAAGUGUGGGGAGCAAACAGGA